RNAcentral lists this ribosomal RNA (407 nucleotides) under uncultured bacterium. RNAcentral describes it as "partial 16S ribosomal RNA". It matches the Rfam family "Bacterial small subunit ribosomal RNA", at positions 28 to 526 of the family's 1533-position model. The record is from RNAcentral.
GACGAACGCUGGCGGCGUGCCUAAUACAUGCAAGUAGGACGCAGUUGCGAACGUGUGAGUAACGCGUAGGUAACUACCUAUUAGUGGGGGAUAACUAUUGGAACCGAUAGCUAAUACCGCAUACUAGUAGAUGGACCUGCGUUGUAUUAGGUAGUAGGUAGGGUAAUGGCCUACCUAGGCAACGAUACAUAGGCGACCUGGGAAGGUGAUCGGCCAAACUGGGACUGGGGCACGGCCCAGAAUCCUACGGGAGGCAGCAGGAGGGAAUCUUCGGAAAUGGGGGGAACCCUGGACGAGCAACGCCGCGGGAGUGAAGAAGGUUUUCGGAUCGUAAAGCUCUGUUGUUAAGGAAGCGGUACUUAACCAGAAAGGGACGGCUAACUACGUGCCAGCCGCCGCGGUAAUUC